AUACUCUGGUUUCUCUUCAGAUUGUGUAAAUCUUUCGCCUUUUACUAAAGAUUUCUGUGGAGAGGAACUCCUGAAAGCUGAUAACCUGGAAAAUGUUGUUUGUCUUUAAGGUGGUAAUGGA
Molecule: small nuclear RNA, 121 nt
Organism: Sphaerodactylus townsendi
Lineage: Eukaryota; Metazoa; Chordata; Lepidosauria; Squamata; Sphaerodactylidae
Product: U5 spliceosomal RNA
Exons: 1
Source: RefSeq, a predicted model, not a curated record